GCCACGAGCAAGGCAUUUCUUUUGGUCACAUCAUAUUCCCUUCGUCCCAUAAAAUGGUCUUUUCUUUUAUUUUAUUUUUUUCAUUUUAGACCGUCCCACUAAAAUAGCUCUUUUCUAGUUUUGGCAAGUCUUUUCUCUCUUAUAAGAUUGUCGUUAACAAUACUUUAAUCACUUUUUCUUUCUACACCUCUCCUAUUUUACCAAUUUCAUUAAAACUCAUGCCGUCACCAAAGUUCUUAAUUUUAUAGGACUGAGGGAGUAUGAUUUAAGAAAAAUGAUAUUUAGAGAGUUAAGUGGAGAUAAAAUAAAGUCAGAAAGUCCUAAUAAAGCAUAUAAGUGAAUAAAGACUAUAGUUAGAGGGUAAUUGUGUUAAAUUUUGUCAAAAAAAGAAAUGACUCUAUUUAGGAAACGUCUCAAAAUGAAAUACGAGUCAAAAUGAAAUACGAGUCGCUUAUGAAAAGAGGAAGGGAGUAUAAUUACAAAGUAAGCUUAAAAAAUUAUUAUAGUAGUAUGAAAUAAAUAAGGGAUAUUGUCACCUAAUAUUAUGAAACUUUCAAAAAGUUGAGUUUUUUUCGCGAACUUUGAAAUUGACAAAUAAUAUCACAAAUGUUACCCCUGGGUUUGUGAUUUUCCAUCAAUGAAAAAAAUUUCGACUAACAUGUAAAGCAAUAAAUUAAGAUAGAAUAGAACAAUUGCUAUGAAAUUUGUUUUAUUAAUAUGAGAUUAGUUUACCUAACCCAUUCUUCGUUGAAACAGAGUUUUACGGCGAAUUAAUUAAUUAGUUAAUUGAUUAAAGAUGUUAUCUAUAAAGAGAGUGCAUACGAAGUCACAGCCUUCUCAUACAAACAAACACACCAAUUUCCAGAGCAAAAAGAAAAAUGGUUUACAAGAGAAUUGUAUUGAUGGGUGUAUUGUUAGUUAUGGGGCUUCUCAUCACAUCUGAUGUUGCAGAUGCGAGACAAAUCACUCUUACUGAGAAGUCCAAUAAUUUGGAAUCUGAGAAAGAAAAUAUUGCUAUAAUGGAAAAUGAGCCUCCGUUUAGAUGCCCGGAUGGGUGCUGUGGAAGAGGAAAGCUCCCUUAUUGCAAGUGUUGUUGAAUUUAUUUCUAAUUAACAUUCAUGUCUCAUGUUUGAUUUCACUAAUAAAUCUCAUAUUGGGAAAUGUAAAAUGACCUAUGCAGUUCGUGUGAAUUACGAUUUGAGCUUAAAUUUAACU
This is a long non-coding RNA of Salvia hispanica, 1215 nucleotides long. RefSeq lists it as uncharacterized. Lineage: Eukaryota; Viridiplantae; Streptophyta; Magnoliopsida; Lamiales; Lamiaceae. The record is from RefSeq and is a predicted model, not a curated record.